This 714-nucleotide long non-coding RNA is filed under the name Heterocephalus glaber (naked mole-rat). RNAcentral's name for it is "lncRNA (ENSHGLG00100047118.1)". The record is from RNAcentral. Lineage: Eukaryota; Metazoa; Chordata; Mammalia; Rodentia; Bathyergidae.
CUCCUCUGUGCUCCCAUAACACUCUUCAACCCGCUCACCAUGUUUUCCUAUGUCACAAUGUGUUAUUGUACAGCAAAUACCUGGCUUAGGUCAGUGUUCCAUAACUACUUAUUGCAACUGCCUAUUUAGUUGCCAACCAUGUGGAUAGUAGACCAUGAGUUCUUUCCAUUUAUUUCACAUGUGUUGAGCUCAUACUAUGUGCCAGCUACUAUUUGGUGUUGGAGAUACAGAAACAAAUAAGCUGUGCCUCAUGGUUAGAUGUACUCAGCAGGCUAGAUGCAUACAGAUGUCCCCACUGUGUGGGAUCCUUGGCCGGAAGUGGGGUGUGGUGCUCACCUGCUGCAUUUAGCCCAAUCUCCAAUGAGCUUUCUGAAUCUGCUGCCAGAGUCUCAAUGAGUAGAAUCCUUCCUGGGGCUGGAACUACUGACAGGUGGAACAGACUGCUGAGGAUUAUAAGUUGGACCAUCAAGGAAGGCUGGGGACAGUGGCAAAGAUCUGGACAACCUUGGAGGAGUAUUCCUGCAGCUGUGGUGGAGGGUGGACCAAGAGAUGGAGACUGGGAGUAAAAUGUGAAGGGCACACACUCCUAGGUAGAGACCGACUGCCCUGUAACCAUGGCAGCAGGUAAUCCCUAGAACCUGUGUUAAACCUAUGGAACCCACUAAUGAAACUCUGCCACUAUCACCAAUCUCCUGAAAGUGAGACCGAUUCCAG